GAUGAACGCUGGCGGCGUGCUUAACACAUGCAAGUCGAACGGGAUCCCAGGAGCUUGCUCCUGGGUGAGAGUGGCGAACGGGUGAGUAAUGCGUGACCGACCUGCCCCAUACACCGGAAUAGCUCCUGGAAACGGGUGGUAAUGCCGGAUGCUCCAGUUGGAUGCAUGUCCUUCUGGGAAAGAUUCAUCGGUAUGGGAUGGGGUCGCGUCCUAUCAGCUUGAUGGCGGGGUAACGGCCCACCAUGGCUUCGACGGGUAGCCGGCCUGAGAGGGCGACCGGCCACAUUGGGACUGAGAUACGGCCCAGACUCCUACGGGAGGCAGCAGUGGGGAAUAUUGCACAAUGGGCGCAAGCCUGAUGCAGCGACGCCGCGUGCGGGAUGACGGCCUUCGGGUUGUAAACCGCUUUUGACUGGGAGCAAGCCCUUCGGGGUGAGUGUACCUU
This 445-nucleotide ribosomal RNA is filed under the name uncultured bacterium. RNAcentral describes it as "bacterial SSU rRNA". It matches the Rfam family "Bacterial small subunit ribosomal RNA", at positions 28 to 481 of the family's 1533-position model. The record is from RNAcentral.